CCUUUCAGUUUCUUCCUUUCAUUUUUGUUACGUACAGAGAUGUUUUCAUACAACAAGAGAAGCAAUCAUACCAUCUUGGAACAAAUCAAGGCUUUGGUGCCUCUGCCACCGGAGCCGGCGUCGUUGUUUCCGGUUCCUUCACCGGAGUUUCAACAACCGCCGGAGCCGGAGCCGGAGCAGCUUCUUCUUCCUUUUUCACUUCUUCCACAGGCUUCUUCUCCUCCUCCUUCUCUACCUCCGGUUUCUUUUCCUCCACGACCGCGGUUGUAACGGUCUCUUCUUUCUUGGGCUUUUCAACAAUCUCCUUCUCUUUCUCACCACUUGUUUCUUCGGUUUUGGCUGGUUCUUCGGUUUUGGCUGGCUCUUCCGUUUUGGCUGGUUCUUCGGUUUUGGCUGUCUCCACCGGUACUUCUCGUGUCUUUACCUCCUCAGGAAGGAACACACAUACCUUCUCGAAUAUGAAUGUUAUUGGUCCUGCGACAUAGCCAGCUCCAAAGCUAGAUGAAGCGUCUUUCACAGCCGUUGAUCCGGGGAAUUCUGAAUUUACAUUUCAUUAAACACAAAGAUAAGUAAAUUCACUACUUUCAUCUAAUGAAAUCUAGGAAGAAGAAAAGUGAUCCAAUUAAUGAAAAAAUUUGUUUCUAAUAAUAUGAUGAGGCUUGACCUAAGGUUUUCGAAUUAGUGAAAUAUGACGAGACAUACGACGACUAGUAGUUCAAUAUAAUAGAAAAAUGUAAUAAUAUGUUAUCUCAAUAAUUUAUUAAAGAUGUUCACAACUAUGAGAUAUACAUAACUUAAUUAAUAUAUAUCUUUGAUUCCACGAUAAGAAAAAAUAUGUGAUCUAAACUCGAGAUAUAGAUGCGUAUAUAAGAAUAUAAGACACGAUAGGAAUCCAAAGUUUCUGCCAGCAAAUAUUUGAGGAAAAGUCAAUAACUAUAUAUAGAAGACCAAACAGAUAAGUUCGUAUAAGACAAGCCAAUUUGUAGUUGUUUUUUUUUUUUUUUUGAGCAAAAGACAAGCAAAUAUUGUUGUCGGGGUAUUUAUAAUAGGCACAUGACUAAGUGUAAUUGAAUCGUUACCAAUAUUGACAAGCGCCUCGAGAUACUUCUGCACAGCCGCUGAGUUUUUCUUCAAACCAGCCUCCUUAGGGUCUCUCACCAAAGCCUGCCCAUUUUAAUUUUAAUCUUAAUACCAAUGUUACAUAAAAAUAUGGAUUUGGAUAAUGAUUGAAAUAACCAUUAAAUUAGAGAAUUAAAGAAAAUGAAGAUACUGACCUUGACUUCAGCAGACGUGGCCUCAUAGGUUUCCACGACCUUUGGUUGGAGUUCUGUCUUUUUCUCCUCAAUCUCCUUGUUGAUUGCUUCCUAUUAUACGUAUCAUACGUGCCCAUUUUAGCAAACACAGAAAAUCAAUUUUCUUAAUAAAUAACACUAGUAUAUAAUAACUAUAUAUUGCUUGAGUGGAUAAUUAUUGUAGGACAAAAAAACCGAAGUGCUAAAGUCCAAAUGAUUCGUGCUUAUUGUCAAUAUUUUUAUUUUUUUCAGGAAUCAAACAAAAACUAUUAAAUAAACAUCUACUAGCUAGACGCCGAGAAAAACACCUACUAUACAGCAAAUUAACUUCUAUGUUUACAUAGUAAUAUAUUUUUAUGAUCAAAUAAUGUUGAGUGAUGGGAUGAUAAUCACAUAAUUAACAGAUUUUUAAGAUUUUUUUUUUCAAGAAUGGGAUUUGAAAGGUUUAUUAAGUUAGGUUAGUAAUAAUCUUUACCUUAGACUCAUCAAAGGUCUUGCAAGCUUCAGCAGCAGCAGCUUUCUUGGUACUAUUUUUCUCGAAUAUCUUCUUGAACUUUGGAACAACCUUCGAAUUCCAGUAACCCAUCUUUUUGUUAUUUAAUUUUAAUUAACCUUCUCAACUCGAACGAUUUCUGUCAAAGAAAUAGAAAGAAAAUAAAUCAAUGUUAUACACAUAUUCUUUUGUAACAGACUGAAAACUCAAAACUUAUCUAAUAAUUCGCCCACGUUACUUAUCUGUCAUGUAUGUGUGUAAAGCACAUAUCUACUGGAGGGAAAAAACAAAAGUACAUAUCUAAUGUUAUACAAAACGACAAAAACCAAGAACCCAAAAAAAAAAUUGUGUUUGUUGUAACAGUGUUUCUUCAAUCAAAAAUCUAAACUAAUCCUUUUAUGGUAAUAAUACUUUUGAAUAUUGAUGAUACACCUUAUCUAAACCAUGAGACUAUAGUAAUUACCUUGGAAAAAAAGUUAACGUUGGUUUUACUCAAUCAUACUUUUUAGAUCGAAACCUAAACUAAUCAGGCAAAAAGAGUUUCACCAUGAAAGACAAACUCCUCAAAUUUCUACGUAUAACAGCUGAGAACAAAAAAUGAAUUAUGUAUAUUGUAUAUAACUACAUAUUCUGUCUCUAUAUAAAAAUGGUUACUAACUAACUCUAAUUCUCUAUAAGAAAAAUCAGGAAAAUAUCGAACAAAGCCCUAGCAAGUUCGUGCGUUCGUUGAGAUGAACUGAACAAUCGUAUUUUAUCACAGACCUAAAGGAUAUAAACGAAAACAUAUUUGUGAUUUGAUUUGUUUACAAUCAUGAGUUUGAUAAAGAGACUUACUUGAGAUGAUAAAUCUCUUUGGAGAUCUUCUUCGUCUCGAUCUGUUCUUCUUCUUCUUCUGAAACACAAGAAACUGAUUAAUUUGUCUCUCUGAAUUUAAGAAACCUUUUCGUGUCAUAUAGAUAGGUUUCUCUUCAAACCACCCCUUGUUUUCUUUCCUAAUUACGGUUAUUGCCCCUCCCUCUUUUCUCGUUUUACCCCUCUUGCCUCGUUGGCGUCAGAACCGUUUCUGUUAAUCUGUUCGCGGAGAAAUUUCGGUUAUUGCCAUCUCAGUCAAUCAAACAGUAAACCGGGAAAAUAUAGUUUUUAACAUAUCAUCAAUCCAUGGUUUAAUUGGAGUGGUAAACAUAAAACCGGGAAAAACACAAUACUUGGCUAUAAACUGGUUUUGGUUUCAGUUCGGGCCGGAAAAGGGUCAAAGACAGCAAGUACACAAGUCAUAAAAUGGAAAAACGGUCAAACAGAAGACAACGAGGAGAAGAAGGGGUAGAUACGUAAUUUCGGAGGAAAAUUUGCCAGCUGGCGGUCACAUCAAUCAGAGUUGGCAAAUAUCGAAGUAGGACCCGCACCAAUCGGAUUGAUAUUAAUUCUUGGAUGGUGAUCUGUAGGUGUAACACAUACGCCUCUUAUCUCCAUAUAUUCAACAUUUUCAUAUUAUAAUGUAUGUUAUUCUGUUUAACCCAUAAAAACGUAGUAUAUUAUUCUGUUUAAUUAUUUCAUUGAUGUUAUAUAUGUGAUACUUUGAGUUUGAGUUGGAUUACGAUUACCCUCAAAAUCAAAAUCUUUAAGAAAAAAAAGAUUAGACUUAAAAUUUGUUUGAUAUUAUAUUGGAAUAUAAUAAGUCGUCUACUAUUAUUCGGUUAAUAAAAAGUUAAGGUGGUAUUUGAUUCAACUGAACCAAAACCAUGUUGAAACCAUAAUAUAUCUCUUUAUUAUUCGAGUGAUUGUGUGUUUAUACUUAUUGUUUUAAUAAUUUGAAAAAUCGCUUGAAGACAAUGUCUUUUAUGAACCAGACUCUUAAUGAAUGAUAUAUUUGUUGUAAAACCAUGCUUCGACAUAUAUCAAUUAAUUCGUAUCAAACUAAAACGUAUUAGAUUGGAUAUUUAUAUUCUUCUAUCAGAACCAUGUUGAUGACCUAGAAAAAAAUUUCUAUUUAAAGGGUUUUUUAGGGUGUAUUUUUCUAUAUUUGGACUCUUUUAGAUUAAUCAAAAGAUAAAAGUUGACAAAACAAAUCCGAAUUCAUAGAAGAUACAUCUUUUUGAUGAAUGACACCCUUUUCGUAAACCUAUAACUAAGUGCUAAGCUCAAACCUUGAUCGAUAUUAUUCUUAUUCUUUCUUUUAAUAUAUGUAAGCAUUGUUACUUGAAAUUUUAAAUAAACUAAAAAUAAAUAAACAGAAAAUUAUUAUUUCUUCAAAGGUUCAUAUUCUUCUAAUGAAAGUUUUUAUAAUUGUAAAACAAAAUUUUUGAAUCAAAUUCGCUUAAAAACUAAAAAAAUGAAUAAACAUAAAAGUGAAAAAACUGAUUUGAUAUUCUAAAACUAUGGGGGUUUUAUUUUUGUUUCAGGAACCGGAUGAACAAAUAAUCAAACUUACUGAUAAAGAAAAGAAAAAUAAUUCACAUGGCCUAUCUGUUUGAUAGAUAUUAGGCUGUCUAAAAACCAAAAACUAAAAUUAAUUAAAAUGAUUGUAAAUAAUUAAUUUUAGUACAAGACAGACAUCCCACCCCCAGUAUCUAUAACAAGCUAUGAAAUCUCCAACACAAAGAGAACUUUGUUUACACUCCUAAUCCUGAUUCAAUUAAUUUGAUUUGAAUAAGCAAAAAAAAAAAUGAACAUCAAUGGUUCACGAAAUUAUAUUAUUUUCGAUGAUAUUUUAUAGUGCUCUACCCAUCAAAUUACUAUUUUUGAAUCAGGAAGUGAUUCACUAAUCUUAUAGUUAAUUUAAUAAUAUUUGUAUAAAUUUAAGAAGACCCAUUUUUCUUAGUAAGAAACAACGACUAUUUUACAUGAUUUUGUACGUGUUGAUGGUUUUAAGAAUACAAAAUUAUGAGGUUUUUGAAAUGGUAAUAUAAUGUCGCCAGGAUGACAGUAUAAAUGCACAUGGGUUGCCUUCAUUAUCUGUUGUCUUCGUUGAUCGAAACAAUGGACAACCAUCCAUUGUGAAAGAUCCUAUGAUAUAUCAUUUAUUUCAUCAUAUUUUUCACAUAUAUCCCACACACAUCUAUAACACAUAGUCACAUACAUAGACAUAAAUAUACACAUAUGUGCAUGUGUCUAAUGUUUUCUUCAUCUACAUUUACUUAUAAAUAUUUACUCGAGUGUGACAAUGUGUCUAAGUUUCUGUUAUAAUAAACGAGAUGUGUGCAUAUUUCUUGGUUUUAAUUACAAUUUUUUUUUGAUAUUUUAAAGAGAAUCGUAUAACACACUUAUGCUAAAGUUAAUAAAUAUUAAUUAAUAUUUAUGACUAUUUCCUUAUUUUUAUAAUUAAAUAUAUAUAUAUAUAUAUAUAUAUAUAAACAACUAUGUUUUUUAAAGAAAAAUUAUUUUCAAUUUAAAUAGGAAAACAAUAUUAUAUAUAUAUAUAAUGGUGUUGUUUAAAGAAAAAAAUAUCUCCAAUUUAAAUAGCAAAACAACAUUUUUUAGUGAUAUAUAGAACUAGAAGAAUAAGCUAUACAAUAACAUUUAUUGUUAAGUCAGAAGAAACUAUACUUUUACGUGUAAAACUCUCAAUAUGCAGAACAUAUACUUUUUUAAGCCAUCAAUCGUUAGUUAUAUACUAUAUAUACUCCAGUAACAUCAUUCAGACUUGAUUAACAUCGAUCUGUAGAUUCGAUUGAUCUUAAUUCUUCUUGAAUAUAUCCAUUCCAUGAGUCAUUCCGAGAAUAUACCUCAUGAAUCUUCUUACCUGUCCACGUCGCCCUUCUUUGUGCAAUACGAUCAUCUUUUUGCGCAUAGACCGCUUCAUGUUUACCUGAUGUAUCAACUUCAAUUCGUCUAUCCACAUGUUCAACAUCUUCAUGCUCUUUCACUAUUUCUGAUUUUAAUGAUCAUACAAUAUACCAUUUGUCUUACUGUGCUUGAGGAUAUCAAUUUUACGUUCGAAGUUUCAAGUAGUGUAAGAUUAAGACGAAACAUAUAUUACCCGGUCUAGUGUGUUUUUACAUUCUCUUGGAACACUUCUGUUCUGUCCAAUUUAUCUUUUUUUUUUAAUAUAAAUUUAAUUUUUUGUCGUCUGAAAUAGUAUUUAAGAAAUGUUAAUUUUAUUUAAUACUAUAAUAUAAAUGAUAAUAUCAAUCAAACCGAACAAAAUUAAUUUCAUGGACCAUGUGGAAUCACGACAAACAUCUCUUCCACGAAGAAUUCUACAACAAACAAUUUUAUCAGCACGCCAAGGAUCCAUAAUGGAUAGGUUCACCUGCAUCACACUCGAGAGAGACUAUGUGUGUAACGAACGAUUCUAUCUGCAUCAUGUAGAGAUUUUAUGUAAGUUUGCGUGCAAUAUUUUGCCUUAUUUUGUAUUCUUGUGGAGUCAAAAUAUUAGUAAAUUCUUGAUCAAUCACUGAAUCAAGGGGAAAUUCACGAAUAAAAAAUCCGGUUUAAGAACAAUAAAUGAAUCCAUACGUUAGUUUUUUUUAAACUCUGUAUAAAAUGAAUUGAGAUGGGAAAAACCCAAAGUAGCAAACACAAAGUCCACCAACAGGCGAUUCAAUUGAAGGCCUUAAUUACAUUUUGGCCAAACAAAACGAGAGAGAAGAUAGCAAGUCCAAUAGGACUGCAAAAGGAAUAGACUUGCAUUAAAUAAAGUCUGGCUUUUGCAACCAAUAUGUGCAUGGACUCUAUCCAUAUAUUAGCUUAUUUCAAUGUCAAUUGCUAUUUUGAGUGGGUUUUUCUAAGAAAAUAAUUGGGCUACUUUUGCCACCUUUUUUUCAUCUUAGCCGAAAUAUAUGUCCAAAAUAAUAAACAAAUAUCAAAAAUCAAAAAUUGGUAAUACAAUUUUAAUAUUUUACACAAAAAAACAAACUAGGUAUGUGAAUAAAUGUUAUGGUUUAAAUUUUUGCAUGAUUAAAUUAUGAGAUGUUAAACUAAGGAUUUUUGAGAAAAAUCCCAAAACUUUUUUUUGUAGUUUUAAAUAUCAUCUUCUAUUUUUUACUUGUUAUAUAACAAGAAAUAUUUACUUCUUCCAUAACAAUAUAUAUAGAUAUAUAUAUAGACAUAUUUAUAUGUAAAUGUUAAGAUGAUUUAGAAGAUUUAAUUUGAUAUGUAAAAUAUACGUGAGAUAAUCCUAAAUCAUUUUUAUAUUUAAAAUACAAUUAACUUAUAUUUUCUAAAAAAUAAUUAAGAUAAAUAAUAAUAUUAAUAUUUACACCCCGUUUAGAAAACACACGUGCUAAUUUAGUUGGUCUCUACCUGACCGACCAAAAAGUAUGAUCCAUUUUUAUGAAUUUCAUUGAGAGUGGUUCGUUUGAAAAUGGCCAAAUGAUAUCCUCAAUAUUCAUUUUGAAGUUAACAUUUGUUUUUGGCAAGCGGGGAAAUUUCAAGGUAAAGCCCAUAUUAAUUUCUCUGGUUUUGUUGCCCCCUAAAAAUAUAUACCGGGGAAAUUUCAAGGUAAAGCCCAUAUUAAUUUCUCUGGUUUUGUUGCCCCCUAAAAAUAUAUACCGAUGUGUUAGGGCAUGAUUAUUGCAGGUACCUGUUAAGGGUACUCGUGAAUUUUAGACCCAAAAGAAAAAUAAAAAACCAAAAAAACAAGCAUCGAUUUUUCUUUUAGUACUUCAAGUAUCGAUACUUGAUGGUUGCUUAAGACAGGUGUCCACUUGUGAUUGACAGAAAAAUGAUGGGUUUUUUUUUCCUGAGCUUUUUUUUUCCCUAAGCUUAUUUUUUCUCUGAGUUUUUUUUCAAGUACCCCAUUUUAAGAUUCUUGCAAUAAACUUAUUUUUGUGUAAAAUUCUUAUUCAAAGUUUUUAUUUUAAAUUUAAUAAUAAAUUAAUCAGUAAGAUCAUAUCCAUUAGUAAACCCUUCUUAGAGGUUCAUCAGCUUAUAAUACUAUUUUUUUUUGGUUUUAAGUUUAGAGAAGAACCUGUGGUUUUUUGAGGUUCCAUUAGUGAAUCCCAAAAUGGAGUUCAACAUAAAUAAAUAAAAAAUUAGAAAAUUUAAUUUUAGUAAUAAAAUUUAUUUGUAUUUGUAACCAAAUUUUGUUUUUUUGUAUCUAAAACUCUCGACAUAUCUUCACACUAAAGUUUCUCUCUUCCUUAAAUCACAACAUUUUUCUUUCAGCAAAGAGAUAACUACAACAUUUCCUUGAUGAAAUCAAAACUAAGUGUGUCCUUGACAAUGAGAAACAAUCCAAGGAAUAUCACAAGCAUGAUACCUGAAGACAUUAUCCUUUGUUCCACCUCUACAGAAAGCUUCCUUCCUCCUCUAACCGCUUCCAAUAAUAUCAACGCCAAGUCCCACCGAUGUCAAAAAGUCUGAUACCUUAGGUAAUGCGGCAUGGUAGAAAUGGUUAUAUACCUGCAGAAACUGAAACAAUGGGCAUACAUACGUUUAGCGACAGUAAGUCAUUGUUUAUGUGUGUGUUAACAAUUGAUUUGGUUUAGAAGAGCAUUUUUUACAAACCUCUCUGCUUGGAGAUUUCAGGUUCGUUGAAAUCCUUAGAUUAACAGCCUACAAACAUAGAAACCUCUUUAGGCUACAAUGCACAAACAAAAUAUGGUAAUAAAGGAUGAUGCUAAAGAAUCAAGGGAAGAGAGAAACCUCGAGAGCUUUACAGAUAUUCUCAAGUUCUGGCCUAUAAUUCAUCUUCUGAGUUGUUGUGACAAUCUCAACAACACCCAAACAAGUACCACUACCUCUUUCAAACACAGGAAGGGCUAUUUUUUAUUUUCAUGAUAUAUUCCUUUUGAACUUGCACAAAAACGAAUCAGCACGCAGCUAAAUAAAAAAAGAGGAAGAUACUAACUUGAACCAACUGCAGCGCUGGAGAAACUCAUAUUGGAAGAACAAGCACUUGGUUGAAGAAUAUAACAAAAAGAAUGAUCCUGCAGGGAAACGAAUACAUCAGUCAUUAACACCAUAUCAGUCAUUGAAACUUUGGAUCCUGAAAACCAUUUCCACGCCUAAUCAGAGAUAAGCAAAGCAUAAACUCAUCGAAGAGGAGAACUAAAGCAAACUCAAUACUCUCCUUACACCUUAAUCAAAGCGCUACUGAAUCUAAUUGAUUUCACCACAUCAUGAGUUAAUUUCUGAAGAUCAUCUUCUUCUACAAACAAGUAUCUAAUUAUUCGAAAUUCAAACCCGUUGGCACAAAGGUCGUCGUAGAGCUUCAUGUGAGCAUUAGGGAGCUGAGAUUGUUGGAGACGACGGCGGCGGAGAUCCUCGACUCGCGGCGGAAGGGAGGAGUAGCUGAGCGGGAAAAUCAUCGGCGAUUCGACUCCUAAAUCGAGCUUAUCUGGAGUUUUAUUAGCCGCGGUCAGAUCGAAAAAUAUACAGAGGAUGAUGAGGAGCGAAGCUCGAUCCAUGGAUGGUGGAUUAAGGAGAUCACUCGAUUUAAUUGAAGAACGCCGGUGGCAACGGAGAAGAUAUGGCGGAGUUAAAACUCCACCGUGGCUCGAUCCUUGGAUCCUUCGUCGUGGAAGGAACAACGAGAAAAUGAGAAGAGAGAGAAAGGGAAAAUUGAGAAGAGAGAGAAACGAAAAAUCACGCUAUUUUUUCGUCCAAUUCGCUUCUGCCACGUGGUUCGAAUACGAGUUCGUCAGGGUCGAUGGGAAGGAUCGGUUCAUCAGAAUUAAGCAUUUUUUCUUUUUUUUUAAAAUACAAUGUACCUAUGAACCUGUGCCAAAAACUUGACGACCCCCUUGAUGGACCUGCUCUUAAGUACCUCUUAGAAGUGCUUGCAAUAAACAUGGUCUUAAGAAUGAUUGACAAAAUUAAUACAUGAUAUAUUACCACUAACAUAGAAAAGGUUGAUGGUUACCAUUUGUUUGAUGAAUUACGUUUGUAAUAUACUAAUACUAAUCCAGAAGACACUAAAAAGGGAGUAAGCGGGCGUCUGAUUUUCUAAAUCACAACCUACUUACAAUACUACUUAUACAAGGCAUAUACAAGUUUGUAACAAACAUAACUACAGAGCGUUUGCGAGUCUGCGGCGGAUGAACGAAUGAAAGAAAACAAUGAUCCAUCGUCUAACCAUAUAUUAACAUUAAGGGAUUCAGUCAAUAAAUUAUUUGUCACAAAUAGCAACAAAGUGGCUAGGAUAAUUUUGCAGCCACAUUCAAAAGAACGCUUACCCUAACAGUGGCGACGAACUGACUACGGAUUUUUCACAAUUAAUGUCAUGUCCUAUCAGUCAUUUGAGUCGCCUAUAACUAGUGAAAUUAUGACGAUAUAUGUUGCCAUUAGUCACAACUCGGUCACGAAUAGCUACUGUUGUAAAAUUGGUGGUCUUACUGAAACGUUUGUUUGGUUCUAGAAUAAAGUUCGGGUCAGCCUUAUUCGAACUAAAGGCUUCUCAAACAAAACCGUUGCAGUUUGUGGCAAAAAUACCUUAUAUUCGUGCAUGCAUGACAUAUAUUCCUUUCAUUUGUUCAUGUCACCGUAUAUUACGUCCCUUUUUGGUUGUGUGGUCAGAAGUGCAUUUGUUUUUAUUGGGAUGUGGGUGCUAAUUUUGUUUUAAUUAAAAAACCACGACUUUAUGAGCUUUUAGCCCGAGGCUGGUAAGUAACGGUCCAUUAUCAUACAGAAAGUUGAUGGGGGCCAUUGUGUAAUGAAUCAUGCUUUACUUUACUAAUUAUAUACUAGGAAUUAACUUGCCAUUGUGUAAUGAAUCAUGCUUUACUUUACUAAUUAUAUACUAGGAAUUAAUUUGCAUAUUAUGCGGGGUAAUAUUUUUUUAAUUAUCUUUAAAUUUAAUUUAAUUUUUUUGUUAAAUUAAAUUGGUGACAAAAGUUUUACCAAAAAAUAUAAAUAAAUAAAAUUAGUGACAAUUAGAUAACAAUACCUAUAUAAAUAUCACACGACCGAUAUUUACUUGUAUAUAUUAUUAUACGGUUUAAUUAUUAGUAGCUUUUUUAAAUAUGAAAGUGAUAUGAUAUUAAUAUAUAUAUAUAUACACUUAUAUACAUACCAACAUGGAUUAAAAUCUAAUAUAUAUAUAUAUAUUCAUAAAAUAAAAAUUUAAUUGUGAAUAUUUUAUUAAAGAUCAAACUAUCAUUUUUAGUGAAUAACUUAUAUAAUAUGUGUUAACAAUGAUUAUAUAUAGGAUUGUCAAAAUGGAAAAACCCGUCUACUUAAUAUAUUUUCACAAUUUACUAAACUAUUUUUUGGCCAACCCGUUAAAAAAAAUAUAAUUUAAAUUUUGAAAACAUAAUUUCAUUUUUUAUAUAAAUAAUUGAACUGAUUUUCGAAAACGAUACUAAAUAAUAAUGAAAAUACAAAUGAAAAAUAUUGCAAAAGUUUAAAUUUAUUUUUUUCAUAUAUAUGGAUUAAUUAUUAUUAAAAAUAAUAGAAUAUAUUUUAAUAUUUUAAUAAGUAAAGAAACUAAAUAUACUUUUGAUUUAUAUCCAUAUAUUUAAUUGAGCUUUUUAUAUUUAUAAAGUUUGUUUAAGUAAUAUCUUCUAAGUAAAGGUUUAUUUAUGUAAUAUCUUAUAAAUAAAUAUUUAUUUAUGUAAAAUAUUCUGUAAUAUCUUAUAAAUAAAAGUUUAUUUAUGAAAUGUUUACUCAAAUAAUAAUAUAGAGAUAAUAAUAUAGAGAUAUUGAGUCCAGGCAGUGAGCGGCUUAUUAUAUAGUGGUUUCUAUUUUCCAAUGGUUAAAGAACAUAGUACGUACUAACAACUAAAUUGCUGACAAAUAAAUAAUGAUUUUAAUUAUUAUGUGAUAUUACCAUUAUCAUGCAAAAGGUUCAUGGUUAAUAGGGCUGGAACGGAGCUGGAUAUCCGGACUUUUCAAAGUAUCCGGAUUCGGCUCCGGAUUUGACGGAUAAUCAAUUUUAUUAUCCGGAUCCGGAUCCGAAAACUCCGGAUAUCCGGAGACCGAAUAUCCGGUUUGAACCGAAGAUUUACGGAUAUCCGACCGGAUAUCCGGUUUCGUUGAUUUAAAAAAAAAACUUCAAUUUUUAAAAUUAUAAUGAGAUAACAUAUAUAAUUAAAAUGUAUCAUUAUAGCAAAAAUUACAAAUACCAAAAAUUUAAAAGCAUUCAAGUAACAUUCAAAUAGCACAAAGUUUAAAAGUUUACAUAGCAAAAGAGAAAAUAGUAAUAGAAGUUAAUUUAUCUUCAUAUCCUUGUGUUAACUAUUUUCAUGGUAUUCUCUCACAAUCUGAAAUAGAAAAUUAUCAUGCAAUAUCAAUUUCAAUCAUGUGUAAAAGAGUUAAACCAAAAACAAUUUUCAAACAUAAUUAAAACAAAAAAUUAAAUGCAUAUCCAAAGAUUUCAAAAUUUUCAAAAUCUUAAUAAACGGAUAACGGAUAACGGAUAUCCGAUUUUAAAAUUUUCUAUUAUCCGGAUCCGUAUCCGAAAUAACCGAAUACUUAAUUUAACUAUCCGGAUCCGGAUCCGAACUACACGAAUAUCCAGUUUUUACGGAUCGGAUAGGACCGGAUACCGGAUCGGAUAGGACCGGAUACCGGAUCGGAUAGUGGAUACCAAAUAAUAAUUCCAGCCCUAAUGGUUACCACUUAUAACAUGAUAUAUAAUCAAUAAAUGGGAUGUGGGUGCUAUGCGACGUACCUAAUUCACAGACAUUGUAAGUGAGCGGUUUAAGGUUUCUAUAGAGAGUGGUUAAUAGUGAAAAGAAAAUAGUACUAACAUAAAAUGCUAAUGAUUUUCUUUUUGCACAUGAAUAUAUAAUAGAAAAUUAGUGAUAUAUAUAUCGACAUAUAUGAAUUAGCAAAACUAUUAAAGUUUUAUUCAUAUACAUACAUAUAAUAUGAUAUCUAAUCAAUAAUGGGAUGUGGGUGCUAUGUGACAUACCUAAUUCAUAUACAUACAAUUUUAUUUUAUUUUUAACUUUUAAAAUUGUUUUACAUAUCUAUCUAUAUAUUUAUUUAUUUGCUUAUGUGUCGACUCCACAACGAAUUUCAGAAUAUUUUGCUUACGUGUCAGUUCUAUAAUGAAUUUCAGCUGCAAAACUAUUUUUUAACUCUAUUUUUUUAUUAUAUGUUAUUUUUUUUUAUAUACGUGAGAAUUUUUUUCUUAAAAACAAAACCACGCAGGUGAACCAGAAUACCGUGCCUAUAAAUUUGAUGAUAAAAAUGGAUUCCAUUCCAUAUCAAUGUUAGUGAACAUGGAAUCCAUAGCAGUUUUGGAACAUGGAUCUCAACUCUUUGUUCCUUCUCCUAACAACAUGUUUGUUUCAGUAGGCAAACUCUCUUGCUUUCCGCUGACGUCACUUCCAACUAAGCCUCGAAAGUUUGUUCGUUUGAAGGCAACUAAUACCCUGACUUGUGAUGAUCAAGAGAGCCUUCGCACGUUCAAGAAAUUGCUACCUUCUCCAUGGACUGAUCACUUCCACUCUGUUUCUGUCGAUGUCUCGGUAAGUCCAUAUUUAUAUAGCUGGUGUAUUAUAUAUAUAUUAGAGAAGGUUAACGCAUGUGUACAUGUUUUACUUUUAGGAAAUGGAUGCGCUUAGGAAAGAAAUCGAUGUACUAAAGCCGAAAGUGAAGAACAAACUCAUGUCUUCCCAUGGGAUCGACUCGACCAAGAAGAGAAUCCUUAUGAUAUAUUUGUUGGUGAGCCUUGGUGUUGCACAUCACUUUGAGGACGAGAUCGAUGAGACUCUAAAAGAAGGUUUUGAAAAGAUGGAGGAGAUGAUGGAUGAUGAAGAUGAUUUGUACACAGUUUCCAUCAUGUUCUGGGUUAUCAGGACAUACAAUCACUACAUAUCUUCCAGUAAGUGAUCAUAAUUCACGUUUGUAAAAGUUUAUGUUAUCUCUAAUUUAUCUGUAUAACAAGUCGGUCCGUUUUGGUCAAUAGAUAUCUUUACAAGAUUCAAAGGAGACAACGGAAACUUCAAAGAAUCGCUUAAAGGGGAUGCCAAGGGCAUCUUGAGCUUGUAUGAAGCUGCGCACUUGCGGACAACGAAGGAUUGUAUACUGGACGAAGCAUUGAGCUUUGCAUCAAACCAUUUGGAGUCAUUAGCUGCAAGUGGGACGUGCCCGCCUCAUCUCUCUAUGCGUAUACAAAAUGCUCUCACUCUAUCUCAGCGUUGGAACAUGGAGAUGGUAGCCGCUCUGGAAUAUAUAACUUCCUACGAACAAGAAAAAGAUCAUGACGGAAUGCUACUGAAGUUUGCUAAGCUCAGUUUCAAGUUAGUCCAGCUCCAGUACCUUCAAGAUCUUAAAAUCAUUACAAAGUACGUAAUCUCCUUAUUUACUAGUAUUUCUAGGGUUUCACUUACAAUCCUUCUAAGGAAGUUAUUCCAACCACGUACAUUUCCUUUUUUUCGACAAGAACUAAUUAUCUUAACUUGAAGAAACAUAUUCAGAAUGCAAUUUUUGGGUUAAUCAAAAAUUAAAGGUGGUUAAACACUUUCUAAAAAAGAAAAUAUUAUUUGGUGACGCUUUCUUAGCUAACAUAUCUAUAUCUUUGGGUCCAAAGAUGGUACAAGGAGCAAGAGUUUGCAUCUAAGUUCCCACCUUACUUCAGAGACAGAAUCGUGGAAAAUUAUUUCUUUGUGCUAGCGGUGUUCUUCCAGCCACAACUUUCACGUGCAAGGAUUAUGUGUACUCAGCUCUUUACCAUUUUGGAGAUUAUAGACGACACAUUCGACAGAUAUGCUUCUCUUCCUGAGGCUAAAAGCCUCGCAAAAUGCCUGGAAAGGUACACUCUAUAUGUAUUGAAAUUCCACAUAAACAGUAAUCAUGAUGGUGAUAAUUAACCACCAUGAUGAUGAGUAAUUAUGAUGAUGAUGUACAGGUGGGCUCCCGAUCAUGCCAUGGAUAAACAACCUGAUUAUCUGAAAUUAAUGUUGAACUUUAUAUUGGAUACUUUCGAAGGUUUUGAAAGAGAGCUUAGGGCAGAAGGAGAAACUGACAGUGUGAAAGCCACUAUAGAAGAGGUAACCUAUUAAAUUCUUAUAUUGUAAGUAUGAUAAGUUAAGGGUAAUGUAUAGCUUUGGAAUAUUUAUUAAAUGAAAUGAGCUCUCUGGAUUGAUAGUUUUUUAAGUGAAAAAAAUCAUGGGCAUUUCACUAUUUCAAAAUGAUUUUGAAAACCAACAUUUUGUAGUCGUAACGGUUUCAGAUUUUUUGAGCUUGCAGUUCAAGAUACUAGUAAAAUCCGAAUAUAUUUUUGCAAAAUGGGCACACGCGGUUCACGUGCCUAGCUUUGAGGAGUACAUGGAGGUUGGUACGGUGGAGAACGCGUCGCAUGCGGCUUUAGCAUGUUAUAUAAUGUGUCUAGGAAAGAUGGCUACGAAGGAAGAUUACGAGUGGCUAAAAUCCAGACCAACACUCGCCAUGUCUUUAUCCAUCAAAUUGCGUCUUGUGAAUGACAUAACCGGUUUCGAGGUAAGAAUAUGGAUAAUUUAUAUCUCCACAACUCGGAUAUAUGCUUUGUUCUAUCUUACAAAAUUACACAAACAUAAUUGAUUACAUUUGUUUUUUUGAUAAAAAUUGUUUGACUAGGAUGACAUGGGUAGGGGAUAUGUCAUGAAUGCGGUCAACUGUUAUAUGAAGCAAUAUGGAGUUACGAAACAAGAAGCUGUUAGGGAUCUUCUUAAAAUGGUUGCAGAUGCGGAUAAGGCAAUCAAUGAAGAAUUCUUGACGACGGUUAAUGUGUCACGUUUGUUUCUCAACGCAGCAAAGGGUUAUGCAAAAAUGAUCAGCAUCUGCUACAAUGGAUAUGAAGGAUUCACCCAUCCCGAAGUAAAAAUUAACGAGUAUAUGACUUCGUUGCUUGUCGAUCAGAUCCGUCUUUGAAGACUGACUUCAGAACAUGUUUAAGCCUGUAGCGCCAUGUCUUUGGUUUCUUCGGUCUACCGUCUACUUAGACCGAACGUCCUUAGAAUCAACAAGAAGCUUUUAAUAUAUGUUUUUGUGUGUUUGAAUAAGUAAAAAAUGCUAUACAAAUGUUACCAGAUUCAACCUUAACAAACAAACAAAAAAGAAACCGGUAACGGUUCAAAUCCCUUGCUAAUCAAAUUUGGUCUUGUUUCUCACCGUCCGUCUAUUUUGAGAGGUAAUAUAUAAGCAACUAAAAUAUAUAAGCUGAAGAUAAUUGUCCUCAUGAUUAGUGCCUUUGUUCCUUAUCUUAAUGACUUAUGAUGCAAGUAACCACUCUCCAAACAGUUUGCUAACAUUAGAACUAGGUAGGUCGUGCAGGCAAAUCUAUCUGUUUGAUCCUGUCUUAAUAUUUGGCAUGGUUUCAUGUCAACGAUAUUGGAAUAUUUUAACCGAUAUAUUUUUUCCUUUUUAGAGAAGAUGGAGUCAACAACACUUUGGGUUAUAUUAUAUUAUAUUAUACGUGCGAGUCAUGACUAAACUAGUCACCGACGUGCAACCCAUCCUGCUCCGUAUUUAAGUAUCAAUCAAUCUGUUUUAGCCUUUUGGCCAAUAUUGUCUUUUUCAAAUUCAUCCUCUCAGGCCAAACGAUCAUAAGAAAAAUGGCGGCAGAGGUUCUCAGCUUCAGGGACGAUAGUAGCCAAGAGGAUUGGCAUGACUUCGAGGUUCUGGGCCGAGGAGACGAGCCCAAGAUUCUGAUCAAGAAGACGAGUAUGCAAUCCGAAUCCGAGAGACAAAUCUCGGUUGAUCCGAAAUCGCUAUUGUCAAGAUCAAACUCGAGCUUCGACAUGAUAAUCUCACGUCCGAGAGACAUCAACGACGACAUGGUAUUGUCCCCUCAGCCGUUGGAUCAUCAAAUGACGAAGACCAAGUUUAUGAGCUGUAGCCUCCCAAACUCAGCAGCCACGUCACCAAGACAUAGCUCUUCGAGUCGUAAUUGGAAAGACAGAACCACGGAGCAAGUUCUUGACCUAAUGCUCGUUCAAGACGCUGCCGCUGCGUUUCGAAGAAGCAAAUCUUGCGGCGAAGGACGUGCUUUCACGCCUUCUCUCGAUUUCGACAUGCUAUUGCACAAAUCAAGUCAAACACAUCAUCAUAAUCAUAAUCAUCAUCAUCAUCAUCAUCAUCAUCAUCAGCAUGGAUUCUCUUCUUCUUCAAACGCCAAGAGUCUAUCUAACAAGAGUAGUGGAAACAACUCUUUCUUCUCAAAAACAGAGUCUAGCAAAAGCAACAGAAGCAAUAUCAAUACAGCGAACUCGAAAAGCAUAAGUUCAUUCGAAGACGGAUUCAAAUGCAGCGCCUUGUGUCUAUACUUACCAGGUUUCGGCAAAGGAAAACCAGUGAGAUCAUCUCGCAAAGGAGAUUCCUCGUUCACUAGAACCACGACAAUGACUUCUACACAAUCUAUGGCAAGAACCGUUUCCAUUAGAGACACUACGGUGCUCUCGGCUCGAGCGUCGCUAGAGCGGUUCGAGUGUGGUUCUUGGACCUCCUCGGCUAUGAUUUACGACGACAAUGCGGAUCUUGGUGGUCAUUUUUUCGAUUUGCCAUCGGAAUUGAUCAAAGGUGGUCAAGGAGGGAACGAUCAAGAUGAUCCUGUUUCAGCUGCUUUCGUGUUCGACAAGGAACCUAAUUUGGAGAAAGAAAUCAAAGGGGUUUUGAAGACUUCUGGUUCGAAAUCAAGAAGAUCUAUGGAGUCGCCACGUCACGUUCGGUUCUCAACUUCGUCGCCGGUUUCUUAUCCGACGUCUCCGACUCAUUCAAUCACGCCGCGUUUGUUACAAGCCACCGAAGAUUUCAGUAGUUUCUUGGAAGCUCAAGCCGUGUGAAUAAUUAAUUAAUGGGUGGGUUUAGCUAUUCUUUUUUUUCUUUUUUUUAAACGAAUGAAAUUAACUAAUUUUUUUUACAUUUUCUUGCUGAAAUUAGCAAUUCCCAUUCCAAAGUAUUAAAAAAUUUCCAUUGUAUAGAAACGAAUACACAAGAGGAAAUUAAAAGUGAAUUGAAUAACCUUUAACAAAAAAAAAAAGUGAAAGGAUCUUAAUUAUUUUACUCUUAUUUAUCUAUGGGAUGGAAACCUGCAAUUUCCAAUAUUAUUCUUUAAGCCAUGAACAGCACAAAGACAGACAAGUGGUUAUGACUUAUGACUUAUGACAUCCUGCUGGAUUUUUAGGAUUGAAAAAUUUGAUAAAAAAAAUACGACUUGACAUUAGAUAAAUUCAUUUAAUUUUUAAUUAAUGGAGUAUGUAAUAAAUUUUGUACCGUUUAUAUAAUUUUUAGAAACAAACAUAUAUUACGUUUGAUUUACAGUUUUUGAAUAAAAUUUUUGCAACAUUGGGUUGCAUCACUUUAACCGUAAAGACCACAUCAACCACAUUUAAUUUGCAGUGACUGAAAUAGUCUAAAAUAGACAGCAUUUCUUCAACAAACCUCCGUAACCAUUCCAAAUCUUAUCUUAUAUGAACCGACAGCAAAAUUGCUAUGUAAGAUGUACUGAACACUUUAUGGGGUUGAAUCUUAGAGGAACCUUUUUUUCACAUCAAGGAACCUUUUUUUAUUGGAGUAAAUAAACUCUGUGUUAUCAGAGAAUAUUGCAGCUACAGAGAUCAUGCAGCCUCGGCCACUUUGUAUUAAUAAUCUCGGUCAAUAUUAAAUGUAUAGCAAACAGACCAUCAAACAUUAAAUUGGACCAAUGUUUUGACGUGAUACAUGGCAUACAUAUAUAUGCACACGUAUACAGUGUACAUUGUAUUCAUAACCCGUACGUUACCAUCAAUAGUUACUACAUUUUGUUUCAGGGAAAAAAAAAACAGAAAUGUUUUGAAAAUAUUGAUGUAGAAAUCAGGAAAUGGUAGGGUUCUUGAAUGUGAUAUAAUUAGCUUACAUGAUGCUUUUGUGACCGUACCGUCGGUGAGCAUCCUUAAUCCAUCAAAUCCUAAAAUCCUGUAAUAUUUGUUGGUGUUUUCUAUAUAUAUAUAUAUAUAUAUAUAUGGUUAAGUUUGAACUCGCAUCUAAAUUUAUUUCAUCAACGUUUCCAUGGUUCCAAACACCAAAAGUCAAAUUUUAUAUAUUUAGUAAUCAAUAUUAGCCUUUUGCAUGUCAUGAUGGAAAUACAUAUAUCUACCUAACAAGUAACAAUUAAAAUUAAACAAAAGCAAUGACGAUGUAAAUCUAUUUCAAAGUGAAUCGUUAAGAAAAUGAUUGUGUAGGUCCAGACGUAAAUCUCUGUGAUUUUUUUUUUACACCGCAUAUAUAAGCAAAAGAAGAAAAAAAAAACAAAAUUAAUUUAGGAAAAUAUAUAGUCAUAUGGUAAUGGAACACUUGUAAUCUAGUGCAACCAACGACCACUUUCUAGCCUACUUGCGAGAUUUAACAACCACGAAACGAUGGGUCCCAUAUGUUCCUUCUACGUAGGACCUACACGUUUAGGCCCAUUCGGUGGUCGUCAAGAAAAGGCGUAAACGCACGUUCCUGACCUCCAAAAAAGCAAAAGCUAUCUUCUUUUGUCGUUAAUUAAUACAAGUAUACAACAAACUAGAUUAAACCAAAAAUAUUAAUUACCGCAAUUAUUCCCACUAGUUUAUAUACUUUAAAAGAGACCUUAAAUCUCUAAUCCAUACAGAAUAUAUGCCAAUAGUUUAUGAACCCAUACCCAAACGAUGAUACAAAUAAAAGAAUACCCCAAAAGACAAACAAUAAAGUAAAAACACCUGCCCCAAUAUUUGAUAACUUCUAAUUUCUUUCUAAAAGAGGAAAUACAUUCACUAUCUUCAUUUCUUCCUAUAUACUAGUCUCAUUGCCGAGUCCGAAGCAGCCGGUCACCGAUCGUUCUCAUCUCGAACGUCUUCACGGCGAGGCCAACGUCGCGGAUCGUAGUGUCGAGCACGUAAGGAUUGUUCUCGAAAACAACUCUAGAAUCAUUGAAAAGGUUACGGCAAGGCUCACGUCGCUGAGAUAUCGAGCCGUGGUAAUGGAAGUAACGGAUUUUGCUCUCGGCCUUGUGGUAUGUUUUCCCUUGCAGGUUCUGAGACAUGUGGACUCCCGUCGCGAAUACAUUACUCGGCUGGACCGCGUACUUACGGUCUCGUCUUGGAACUUUCUUGACGUCUCUAUAUGCCAGUUUCUCAAAUCCCCAUUUCCUGGUCAACAUUAAAGGAGAAAGCAUUUUAGAGAUCAAAUCAGUCUCAGUCCCUGACAUAUAGAGGCUUAGCCAAAAGAACAUACCAAACUAUAAUUUGAGGAAUCCUAAGCACGUAUUAAAAUUGACAUUUUUAUAAUUUGAGGAAUCAGAAUUUAGAAUAAUUGAAACAUUUAUCACACACUCAAAUCAUGUGAUGUGAAAGAGAAGCAAAGAUCUGGACCGACAUGGGAGACUAAUACGGAAUGCGCAAAGACUUUUGCAGGCCAAGUGUUGACAGAAUCAGAUGCUUUGUUGUUGUAUAUUAUUAUAUAUUCCAAAAAAGCCAAUCAAGAAACUUGUGAUUAUAUUCUAAGUUACUCAACACAUGGGUUUUGGUUAAAGUUCAAUCAUUAAAAAUUCGACAAAGUCACGAGGGAAAAGAAAAAAUAAACCAGAUUAACAACCUAACCACGGUUUCUUGUUAGCAAUAAUCUAAUUAAUUCACGGACACAUUAAUUAACCUUAAAUAUUACGAGAUUAAGGUUCUUACCUGUAUGUUCUUGCCGGACCAUCACCGGAGUAACAGAGCUUGCUACUCAUAGGCAUCUGCUCAAUAGUAAACUGAGAAUAUUCCUCCAAAGAUUCCAUAACCGACGAGAUCGAGUUAUUGGCCGGAACAUAGAUAAACUCAUCGACGUCGAAGAAGAAAAUCCACUUGGCCGAGAAUCUAUACCUAUGCAAGCAAUCAUUCACAACCAUGAACUGAUUAUGAUAAUACCCAUCGAACCUCUCCUGGUCUCUGAUAUCGUGCACCGUCACGUGCCCGAGCUCAAUCCACGGCCGUAAAACCUCGAACACUUCCUCGUGAAUCCCUCCGGCGUCGUGAAGCACGAAAUGCGACCGUUCGCCGAAGAAUCUCACGUGGUAAGCGAUCCACUCUCUCACUCUCUGAGGACUCAAGUUUCCGUACAGAGACGAGCCGCAAUAGAGGUAAUCGUACUUUUUGCGACGAGAUUUGGAGCUGUAGAGCUCGAAAUCGACGGAGUUUGGGGAUUCCGACAGGACCGGGAUCGAGUCGGUGAGGUUUCGGUCUGGAUCUCCGGUGGUUGCGUGGAGGAUGAGGUUUCCGCCGGAGUUUUCGGGGUUAACGGCGGAGAUUGAAGAGAAAGUGCAGUUGACGACGACGGUGGUGUAGAUCCGUCCGUAUCCCCAAUCGGUUAGGAUUUUAAACCCGUCUGUGGAAAUCGGGUCGUGAGUCGGGUCGAGAGGGACCCACUCGCAUCGGUACGAAGGAUGGCCGUACACGUGGAGGGGUUUCGACGAUAGGCCGAUGACGGCGAAAGAGUUAACGCCGCCUCUGUAAGCGCUCAUCGAGACGAAGUUGUAAGCUGCAGAGCCGUAGCCAGUAAACGACCGUUUGAUAACGCCGUUAUCCAAAACUCGAUCUGUUUCCGUCGUGUUUUCCGGUGACUGUUCCACGGCGGUGGAUGUAGUGGUGUUGACGGGAACGGCGGCGGAGGAGGAGAAGCGUGAGAUGCAGAAGCGGAAAUCGGAGGCGGAGAGAGAGAAUGAAGAAGGUAUGAAAGGUAAGAGAGUGGCUAAAGUGAAGAUAACGAGUAACGCCAUGAAAAUGAGCUUGAGCUCGGUGGAGAAGUUCCAUAUGACGCCGACGAGGAGCUUCUUCUCCUUAACAGGGAUUUGCUCUUUCUCUUUAGUGACCAUGGCGGUUGAAUCUUCUCUUCUUCAGUGCUGGAUCUGAGUCUCUCGAAUCAGAGAAGAGGAUGAAAAAAAAGGAAGAAGAAGAAGGUGAUAGAUUCUUUCUCCCAAUGUCUCUCUCUCUAUCAACGAGUCGGCGAGUCGAGUCGCUUUCUAAUUCUACACCUGUUCUUGUUUGUCUUGUUACCUGCGGCUGCGUUUAUAUUUUAAUGUUUUUUAAAAACAAAUUCGGGAAUAUGUAAAUUUCUUUGAUAUUUCCCGAAUUUGCUAUUUUUUAUUUUAGGAAGGGGUGUUAAUUUCCUUUUCCAAUCUUCGUAUUUUUGUAACAGAGAAGGGCUAAUGAAAACAACUUAUGAACAUCACUACUAAAAUAAAAUUAGACAAAACACUGAAUCUAUCAUUAGAGCAGCAAAACAUUCCUAUGCAGAGACAGUUUUUUAGCAGUUAGUUUUUAUAUUUAUUUUUUUCGUUUAGCAAAGCGUCUCUUUUUAAAUCAGAUUUCUCCGUUUAGCUCGAUCGAAUUAUUUUUAUAUAUAAUAGUAUAGAGAUCUAUAUAUAUUUAGAAGGUUUUUUUACUACAUUAUUUGUAUUUCCAAUAAAGACAUUUGUAAUCUCUGCGAAUGAUCCUAUUUCUUAUUUCUGUAUUACUUUGACUUGCAGACGUCACAAAGGAAACCGUAUAGUGAAGGGAAGGGAAGGUCAAAAAAAGGAUAUUGAGAAUGUGUUUCGUAAUAAUUAUUUUUUCUUCUAUUGGUCAGAAGAAAAGAAAAAAAAAGGAAAGACAGAUUGAACAAUUAUGCUACUAUUGGAUUGAGUACAAAUUAAAAAGAUAAAUGACUACCAACUAUAGAUUCCCAUGUGUUGUAUUAUAUAACUGUGAAAUCAAAAUCAAAAUGGUUCAUGAUAAUUAAUAAUGCGUCUGGAAACAAUUACUACUAUUGCUUAACAUUGGACAUGUGCUAAACGCCAAAGUCAUAAUUUUCUAUUUUCAACUGCCAAAAUCAUCGAUUAACAACAAAAGUAUUUUAUAUCCAACAAACAAUACAAAAUGCUACUGGUAUACUGUAUACAGCAUUCUCAAAUGAGUUGUAUCGUUUUUGUCGUUUUAAAUUACCACUAUUUUAUAGUUUUGGUUUUACCGGUUGGAGUUUCUUAAUCCCUAAUUUUUUUUUGAAGAAAUAGUUCGAACUUUUGAAGGUGAUAGAAAUUUCGUACAAGAAAAAUGAAUUACGACGACUUUGUCUUACCAUAUAGUGUAUUUUGUAAAGUUUGCAGUAUCGCCGUUUCGUUAUAGGAUUCCAACAUCUGUGGGAGACGUGGCGCUCUUUCCAGAACCCACCUGUCCGUUUCGCCAACGUGUCUUUAUUGCUUGGCUUCCCUCCAACGUUUCCAAUUGCCUUUUCCUUCAUUUUCCUUUAUUGUUUUUUUUAACAUCUGAUUUUUUGGCUUCUCGUUCAUUUAUUUUAACCGGAAAAGAGAGAAAAAAAAAAAGAACUUUCCGAAGCUCAGAAAACGGUCAACAAUAAUUUUGUUUAAUUUUUCAGCAACAAUAAUUUUCUUACAUCCCCAAAGACAACUUGUUUUUUUUUUUUAAUAUUUCCAAAGACAACGAAUUUUUUUUUUUAAUAUCUCCAAAGACAACGAGUUUUUUUUUUAAUAUCUCCAAAAACUCAUUACUAUUCUCUUUCAUUUACUCUUAGUUUUUGUUCAAUAAGUUGAUUCCAUCCAUAUUCAUAUCAAUAUCGGUUUAACAUUCUUAAUAACAUUCAUUAAUUAUAUAUAUAUAUAUAUAUUAGUUUUUUUUAUAUUUUUUUGAUAAUCAAUUAGCUUUCAAAAUUUCUUAUAUACUAUUUAUUUUGGCUAUGGUGAAAUUAAGUAUUGUUACAAUUUUAAAAAAAUUUAAACAUAAAUUGUUCAUGUGCAUCCUGUAAAUUGCAAGGACAAGUGAAACUCCAGCUCGGAUCCGUGUUGAUGCCUUGCGCUUCCAGAUGACAUAUCACUCCUAAUUUCUAACAUGUCUUCCAUUAAUAUCUCUUAUAUCAUAAUUAAGAGUCCUCAUAUCCUACUAUUUUUAGUCUAAAGUAUAAAAUUGGGUUUAAGAUAAUCUGCACGAUAUCUAAUCUUUCAUUUACUACCUAACUCAUUAGAGAUUUAUUUUUAACAACCUAAUAUGACCAGUUGAUGCGUACUGGUUAAAUUGGCCUAAAAAAUUAUAAAGAAGAAACUACCUUUGAGUUUUAUAUUUUAAAUUAUGGCCGUGUGCAAUGCAAAGUAUUGGCGAAUUAUUCCACGCACAAGCCAUAUGAUGAAUAAGUGUUGGAACUAUUUUGUAACAACCUCAAUAUGGCAAACACAUGAAGGCAACAAAAAGGGUGUUUAUUUGUAAGUAUAUUCAGAUGUGUCAGAGUCACAUUCCAAAUCAAUGGAGAAGUUAUAAUAUUUGUUUGGGUUCAUGAAUCCUAAGAAUCAAGAAAAGCUCUCACAACGUCGACGAUUGGAGCCAUACAAAUCGGACAUUUCUUACUGCUCCAUUGCAAUUCAUGAGCACAUUUCAGACACGUGCACAUAUGUCCGCACCUGCAGAGACAAUCAAGACCGCUGGUUACUAUUUUAGCGUUUGCGAUUUGAAAUCCAGAUCUAGCAAACGCACUUACCUAUAAAGGAGCGAGUCAACAGGCAUCUCUAAGCAAACGCAACACUUUCGUUUCAGUGGAUCUUUCUUUGUAUCUACUCGUUGUUCUCCGGAUGACCCUAAAAGAUUAUUCAUUAGCUUUGAUUUCUUGAAAUGAAAUUUUUUAUAACGUUAAUGUGAUGAUAAUAAAACUAACCAGAACGAGAAAGAUCUUGCGUUACAGAUUUCUGGAAAUGAAGUUGCAUAUCAACGCAGGAUUUAACCGUAUUUCGUAGCUCGAGCAUUUCUCGUUGAAGCUUCUCCAUUUGUACCUUGAGAUCACUGAUCAUCUGCAUUUCCUGUGUCUGUUAAGUGUAAGAUCUUAGUUUACUUCACCAACACGUAACCUAACUUGUCCGGGAAAAUAAGAGCAAGAACAAUAUUGCCUAAACUCACAGAUUGAUCUGUCUGGACUGAAGGUUCAGGAAGAGACAAAGACGUUGUCGGUUCGUAAUCCUUGUCGAUGUCUUGGUCCCUGAAACUCCACGACAUCAACAACGUACUACUUCUUGCUGAUGAUUGGCUGCAACCGUCACUAGCAGCCUCAAGAUUUGUCUUCUCUGGUUCUUCCUCUGUUUCCUUAUCUUCUUGGUUCCUUGCUGAACACUCUUCAACCCACUCUUCUUCUUCUUCUUCUUCAUCGUCAUCAUCAUCAUCAUAUUCCUGUUUUUGAUUGAUUGGUACGCCUAAAUGGCUUUGCACACGAGUAAUCAUCAAAUUGUCGAUCUUUUGUCGCAAAUCACUCGUCAAAAAGUUGGAAACUGUUCGGCUGCGCAGCGAUAAGCAAAUAACAUUACAAUCUCAAUUAGUUAAGGUGAAUAUCUUUUAGAGGAUUUUGAUGAGUGAUCAUAGAUAUAUACCUCUCAAUGAGAUUGCAAAUAUCUUUCUUCUCUGAUUCAGUGUUGAGAACCUCAAGAUACCUUUCUUUCCUUAAUUCUUCCCAGUAACUUCUAGGCCGCGAUAUAUCGUUAAUCCAGUCAUAUGAAUUCUCUCCAUUGUAAUGAUCAUAAUCUCCAUAUUCUUCUUCUUCUAGGUCUUCCAUUUCAUCUUCAUCCCAAUCAUUUACAAACUCCAUUGCUGUUUCUUCCACUUUGUGUUCUUCCUUCUUGGUUUCUUCAUCCUCUAAGUCUUUAGUGCCGUUUCCGUCAUUUGAAUUUGGCAGAAUCGACAUUUCUUCAUCCUGCUGUAAGGAAUUCUUAUCUGUAGUCCUCUCUCUAGAGGCGUCACUUGCAGAUUCUUCUUCUGUUCUAGUAGACUUAGCUUCUGGUUUUCGCAGAAUCGACAUUUCUCCACUGUGUUGUGAAGAGUCAAUCUCUUUAGCUCUCUCUCGGGAGAUGUGACUCACAGUUUCUUCUGCUGGUAAAACGUCUUGAGGAUUCACGCAUUUCACCUCAACAAUAUCUUUUUGGGACUUAGCUUCUACAGAACCAAAAUCUUCCUCUUUCUUUCUUCUUUCUUUCUCUUCAGUCUCACACUGCGUAGAGAGUUCUCUACUACUACUCUGUUUUGUAUCCAUCAUUUCAUUGUUUUCAACUACUUUCUCCACUGUUUCCUUUGAAGUAGUUAUGCUUCUCUCUGCUGUUUCGACAUUAGUAAUUCUUCUUGAAGCUUCUUGCAACACUUGAUUUGUCUCUGUAUUAGCUUUGCCUUCGGUUUUACCUUUUCCUUUCUCCAUGAAUCUUCUCCUAUUCUUUUUCUCCUUGGAGUUCCACAGAUUCACCUUCUCAGCUAUUCCCAUCAAAGUGUUUUCUUCUACGCUUUCCUCAACUUCUCGCUUCUCCCCUCUUCCUUCUCUACUUUCCUUCUCAACAGGUUUCUUUAAACCAUUCUUACUGUCUGAAGUUUUACUCAAGUCACUCUUCACGGUUGUUUCCUGCAAAACCUUUUCCUCUGUAGCCGGUUUACGCAAAAAAUUAUCUGAUUUUGAAGUAACUUCUUGAGGACUUCUGUUUCUAACCUCAAUCUCUUUGGACUUUGUUUCUACAGAAACACAAUCUUCCUUGUUCUUUCCUCUUACUACUUUCUCUCCAAACUCACAUCGUGGCGUCAUCAUUUCCUUUGAAGUAAUAAUGCUUCUUUCCGCACUUUCGACAUCACUGAUUCUUCUUGAAGCUUCUUCCAAAAUAUCCUUCUCAACUCUCACUAUAUUAGCUUUGCUUUCAGCUUUACCUUUCUCCAUCCCUCUUCCCAUAUUCAUUUUCUCCUCUGAGUUCCAUAGAUUCACCUUCUCAGCUAUUCCAACCAAAGCAUUCCCUUUUAUACUUUCUUUAGGAAUAGCUUUCUCCUUCAUCUCUUGCUUCUCGCCUCUCCCUUUUGUAGUUUCUUUCUGAAUGGUUUCUCCUGCAGAAUUCCUUAAACUACUCUUAUUCUCUGGACUUUCACUUAAAACAGCUUUCCUUGUAGUUUCCUUCGCGAUAGCUUUCUCCUUCGUUUCUCGCUUUUCGCAGCUACCUUGUGCAGUUUCCUUCUGAACAGUUUCUCCUGCAGAUUUCCUUAAACCGCUCUUAUUCUCUGCAUUUUCACUCGAAACAGCUUUCUUGGCGAUUUCAACCACAGAAUCGCUCUUCUCUAUAGCUUCCUUCUUCUCUGUAGCCUUACGAGGAUCUUUAUCCAAAAGCCGACCCCGAGAAGACACAGAACUAGACGAAGCUCCAGUCUCAGCAUUGUCAGAGUUUGUCUUAUAUUUCUCCCUGCAUUUCAUUUCAUUUCAUUACUUUAGCUUCACUAAUAUCUCCCCAAAAACUGCUAGUAGAAAACAUCAAAUUUACCUGAGAAGAUGCAUCACACCAGACCCUCUUGGCGACCGGUUUAAAUCAGAUCCUGAUGAUGAUGGUCUAGACCGAUUUCUAUCUUGAAUCGCAAUGCACCUUUCGUAACAUCGAAUCCUAAGCGUCGACUACAACAAAACACAAAGCAAUAACAUUUUUUUAGACCUAACAAACCCUAAAACCUGUCUAGAUUAGAGAUCAAGAAGCAAUUAUAUAUACCUGAAUCCGCCCGCGAUGCGUGAACUUCGAAACACUAUGUCGUUCUGAUAAACAAGCCAGUUCCUUUUCUCGAUCGCGCGUCAUCUGAACCAAUAGUUCUGCAAAUGCUUGUCUCCCUCUAAUCCUUGGGGAACAAGCAACUUGAGGAAAACAUCUCGCUUCUGUUGUCUGAGCUUCUUUAGCAUUGUCGUUGCUGCUGCUUCCAUUGUCGUUAUUCGCCAUUGUUUCUGAGUCGGUGCUUAGUUUCCGGAUAAUAUCCAUAACUCUUACCCCUUCUCUUUCUUUCUCUCCAGAAUCUGGAGGUGGAGGAACAAUUUGUGAAUCACAUUCCAUCUCUUCUUCUUCUUCUUCCUCUUCAUUGUUACCUUCCUCGAUGGUUUGAAUCAAUUCGGAUUCCUCGUUGAGAGACUCCGAAUUCUCUAAAACGUUUGAUCCUGAAGAACUCGUUCUGCUAUCGAUUUGGGAUUGGUUUUGGUUCGAGCUCGGUGGUUGCUGCGUUGUCCUCGCCUCCCAUAUCUGAACCAGAGAAGAAGCCGCCAUGGUUUCGUUUCUCGACGAAUUCUUACCGGGUUGACCCGAAAUAGGUAAAUUCAGAUCCGGGUCGGAUCCUAGAGAAGACGAUGAUGGGACUUCUUCUUCGUGCCGAGAUUCCUCUGUUUUCGAGAGCCGAUGGUCUGAAACAGAGGAAGAAUCCGGAACCGUUUUGGUGGAACCAUCAACAUUCUCACCAGAGACGCUGCAGUUUUCGAGAUGAUCUCUGACAAAAACAUUGAGAUUCUUCUCGAAGGCAACGUGUAUGUUUCGGACAUUGUUGUUGUUGUUGUUCUGGUUCUUCUUUUUGUUGUUGUCUCCUCGGAGGCAUCUCUCGUGAGGGCUCAAUACGCAAUUAAAACUCUGGCAUGAGGAAAUUUCUACCUCAGAGGACGCCAUUUCCAUCAACACUAAUAUCAAAAACACAAAUCCUAUUUAAUCGGAUCUUUCUCUGUAAUAUGUUUUUUUUUUUUGAUAAAAAAAUUAAUGGUCUGUUUCUAAUUUCUUGAUCCCUUCUGGGGAAGAAGAACAAGAGCAUCGAAACAGAUAAAACCCCAUUUGAUGAUGAUGGAGAUUUUCGAACACAAACACGAAAGUUUUGAUUGACAAGAGGAAAGCGAAGAGACAAAACAGGGGAAAGCGAAGAGACGGAGCCCGAAACAGAGCAAUGGAGAAAAAAAGGCUGAGAAGAAAAAUUAAAAGUCCUGCUGUUUUUCUCUAUUCUUCUUCUGUUUUUUUUAAAAAAGAUUUGAUAUUAUUAAAAUCCACCGAUAUUAUUUAGGGAAAUAAUAUUACUACCUUUAGGAAAAAAAUCCAAAUAAGUUGUAACUUUGAAAACUAAAAAAAAAAAGUUAUAAGAGAGACAUUUUAGCCCAAAAAAGAGAGAGAAAGACAGUGUCAAAGAAAGAGGGAGAGCAUAAUUAUGGCAUUCUCUAAAUGGGAGUUGACUCGCCUUUAAUUGAUACAGUUUCUUUUUUAUUUCAAAUUUACUGGUAACAUUAGAGGUAUUUCUAGUUAAACACUUUUAUUAAUCAAUUAAUUGGACAUGAAUCUGGAUAUAACUUGUUUUUGGGGAGAAGAAUCUGGAUAUACUUAAUGAUCAGUGUUAUUGGAUUAUCUUUCACAAAAGAUUAAGUGCUGUGUAGAUAUAACUUGUUUUUGGGGAGCAGAAUCUGGAUAUACUUAAUGAUUAGUGCUAUUGUAUUAUAAUAUUUCAAAAAAAAAAUAGUGUUAUGUAAAAGAUAAUUUUUCCAACUCACAUAUUAAUUACACAUUUACAUGUAACAAAAUAUGAGCCAUUAUCUUUUUUUUUUUUUACAAAAGGGUUAAAAUAUGAGCCAUUAUCAUGAUUAUGAAAUCAACAUUAAGAUAAACCAUUCUAUUUCUCUUUCUUAUAUACUGUAUAAUUUUAUGAAUUAUAGUAUCAAAUAAACGUUCCACUUAUUGUAUAUGGUAACUCAAAGGAAUAUUUUUUAGUCUUUGACGCGUGUGAUUGAUACUACUUUUUUUGGGUACUUUUUUUUCUUCAAGUUCAUGACACUAUUAGGUGGAUUUACUAAAAUCAAAUAUUCUGGGUGAUUUUUUAAAAAAUGAAUAAUAGGUAACUAUUUUUGUAGUCUUUGACUAGCGAAAUUUGGAGUUUUACAUCUGGGGUCAAACUCUGUUCCAAUUAAUGAAUUUAACUAAAUUUCGGUAAAUAGAGUUUUGACGGUAGCUCAAGUCUAAUUGGGAUUUCGUAGUUUUAAUCAUCGCUAAAACACUACUACUUUAGCUCCUUCUGUUCAGACUUACUAACAUUUUCAAAAUUUUAUUUAUUUUUACACUGUAUAAAUUUUAGAAGUCUCUAAUCAUCAAUAAUCUCCACCAGAAACCAACUUCUGAUAGUAUCAUGUUGAAGGCGUAGAUUAUAACACUUCAAUGAAAUUAAACUAGUAAUUUUAAAACUAGUACUUAUCAACGGUUGAUAUAAAUAAAAAUUAGUUUAUGUCGAGUUUGGAAUUUCCAACAAUUUCCAUACUUACUGGGUUGGCUUAAACAUUUAUUUCUAAGAACCCAAGAUUCAUUUCUAAAUAUAUGACUAUAAAUAUUCAACCAAGAUACCUGUCUAAUUAUGGGAUUAUGCUUUUAAAUUUUAAUUUCAAAGAGUGGUGACUAGAUUUUUUUUUUUUAACAAUACAUUAUACAAGUUUGGAUGUGAUUAUUAUCACAAAUGAAUAGUUUUGAAGUUUGAAACGAAUGACUAAUCUCUAGAAUUAGUUGUUCUAAGUUUGAGGUUUUGGGCUCU
This 29912-nucleotide long non-coding RNA is filed under the name Eutrema salsugineum. RNAcentral describes it as "long non-coding RNA (ESAL_LNC002109)". The record is from RNAcentral. Lineage: Eukaryota; Viridiplantae; Streptophyta; Magnoliopsida; Brassicales; Brassicaceae.